This 73-nucleotide transfer RNA is filed under the name Felis catus (domestic cat). It matches the Rfam family "tRNA". Rfam says of the family: Transfer RNA (tRNA) molecules are approximately 80 nucleotides in length. The record is from Rfam by way of RNAcentral. Lineage: Eukaryota; Metazoa; Chordata; Mammalia; Carnivora; Felidae. RNAcentral also lists the same sequence under 2 other names.
ACCUAGCUGGCUCAGUCAGAAAAGCAUGAGACUCUUGAUCUUGGGGUCAUAAGUUCAAGUCCUACGUUAGGUA